CCUACGGGUGACAGCAGUGGGGGAUAUUGCACAAUGGGGGGAACCCUGAUGCAGCGACGCCGCGUGGGUGAAGGAGCGUUUCGGCGCGUAAAGCCCUAUCGGCAGGGAAGAAGAUGACGGUACCUGGCCAAGAAGCCCCGGCUAACUACGUGCCAGCAGCCGCGGUAAUACGUAGGGGGCAAGCGUUAUCCGGAUUUACUGGGUGUAAAGGGGGCGCAGACGGCAAUGCAAGCCAGGAGUGAAAGCCCGGGGCCCAACCCCGGGACUGCUCUUGGAACUGCAUGGCUGGAGUACAGGAGGGGCAGGCGGAAUUCCUAGUGUAGGAGUGAAAUCCGUAGAUAUCUGGAGGAACAUCAGUGGCGAAGGCGACUAUCUGGCACAUAACUGACGCUGAGGAGCGAAAGCGUGGGUAGCAAACAGGAUUAGAUACCCUAGUAGUC
RNAcentral lists this ribosomal RNA (440 nucleotides) under uncultured bacterium. RNAcentral describes it as "partial 16S ribosomal RNA". It matches the Rfam family "Bacterial small subunit ribosomal RNA", at positions 338 to 795 of the family's 1533-position model. The record is from RNAcentral.